ACCAGUGUGGUUUAGUGGUUUGGAUGUUGGACUAGAACCCUGAGAGACCAGCGUUCGAAUCUCUGCUUGGCC
Molecule: non-coding RNA, 72 nt
Organism: Phrynosoma platyrhinos (Desert horned lizard)
Lineage: Eukaryota; Metazoa; Chordata; Lepidosauria; Squamata; Phrynosomatidae
Source: the annotation of a GenBank genome assembly